GUAUAGAGCAGAGAGAUAUUCAGUAAAGUAAAUAAUAGUUAUAAACACUAGUACUGUAUCUUCACUUAAUUUAAUGUUUUCCUUCGCUUUUUACGGUAAAGCUCACUGUUACUUUUUCACGGUGCAGUUGCCAUCCAAAAAUGGCGGACAACGUCUGGUCGCAUGGCAAUAAAACUUGGCACAAUGUACAAUAUAAUUUCGAAACUAGAACAAAUGGAAGUUUUAAAACCAGACCAAUCGUCCAAUCUUUUUAUUGCUAAUAUUUUUAUUUAUCCACAAUGAAAAAUAAUUGUAAACCAAAUAUUCCUUGUGGCCUAUUUCACGUAUCAUUUUGAAAAAAACGCAAACUUGUCAUGAAGGACAAGUAAAAACUAUCUUUACAAUACCUUAUUAAACAAUAAUAAUCUAAAUAACAUCAUAACACAUUGGUAUGAGUUUUAAAAGUUUUCAACUUAGUUCUUUAUUUCAACCUGCUCCGUUUUUAGACAGUGGCGUGCUGGCAGGGGGGGGCCGGGGGGCCACGCCCCCCCCCAGCUGGCAAUUUUUGGGGGGCGCAAAAAUGAAAAGGGGGCGCCGAAUUUUGAAGUAGGUGGGAAGAAACGCAUUCGAAAAAAUUACUUACGAAUUCCUCCAAGGAAAGAUGUGUUUAUAGACUUAUAAACAGACUAAGCGCAUAGGCGACAAAGUGAGUAUAUUAAAUUGCAGACUAUUUUGUCUAACCGUAUUUGCUACCUCACGACCCACAGGAAAUCACUCGUUCAUAUAGAAACAUGAUCAGUGAUCACACUAGCCCGCGUGCAGGCCCAAGGGAGCAGGCUGAAGGGAACUUGAUAGUGGGCCUGCAAGCAAGGCCCGGUAUUUUGUACUUUCCGCGUUCGCCCACGAACGCGGCAUUCUGAUUGGCUGUUUGCUGUUGGAUUCUAUAAUUAGGUCAGUGAUUCAUCACAAAGGCAUAGACAAAGGCA
Non-coding RNA from Paramuricea clavata, 965 nucleotides. Lineage: Eukaryota; Metazoa; Cnidaria; Anthozoa; Malacalcyonacea; Plexauridae. The record is from the annotation of a GenBank genome assembly.